RNAcentral lists this ribosomal RNA (644 nucleotides) under Vermamoeba vermiformis. RNAcentral describes it as "SSU rRNA". It matches the Rfam family "Eukaryotic small subunit ribosomal RNA", at positions 602 to 1247 of the family's 1831-position model. The record is from RNAcentral. Lineage: Eukaryota; Tubulinea; Echinamoebida; Vermamoebidae.
UAUUAAAGUUGUUGCAGUUAAAAAGCUCGUAGUUGGAUUUCGGAAGGUCCUUAGCAAUCCGCCCCUUCGGGGAGCGGGUUGCUGGCCUCCUAUGUUCCUAACGGUCCUCAUCCGCGAGGGUGGGGAACCAACCGCUAGGAUCGUUUACUUUGAGGAAAUUAGAGUGUUCAAAGCAGGCGUAACUCGCCUCCGAAUACGUUAGCAUGGGAUAAUGGAAUACGACUUCGGUCUUGUUUCGUUGGUUUCGCUUGGCUGAAGUAAUGAUUGAUAGGGACAGUUGGGGGCAUUAGUAUUUAGUUGUCAGAGGUGAAAUUCUAGGAUUUACUAAAGACUGACCAAUGCGAAAGCAUUUGCCAAGGAUGUUUUCAUUAAUCAAGAACGAAAGUAGGGGGAUCGAAGACGAUCAGAUACCGUCGUAGUCUCUACCGUAAACUAUGCCGACCAGGGAUCCGGAGAGUUUGCAUGGAUGACUCCCCGGGCACCUUGUGAGAAAUCAUAAGUGUUUGGGUUUUGGGGGGAGUAUGGUCGCAAGGCUGAAACUUAAAGGAAUUGACGGAAGGGCACCACCAGGAGUGGAACCUGCGGCUUAAUUUGACUCAACACGGGGAAACUUACGAGGUCAGGACACUGUGAGGAUUGACAGA